ACAGUGGACGCGAGCAUCUGUGGCCAAGUUUUUAAGGGCGCACGGUGGAUGCCUUGGCACCAGGAACCGAUGAAGGACGUGGGAGGCCACGAUAGGCCCCGGGGAGUCGUCAACCAGGCUUUGAUCCGGGGGUGUCCGAAUGGGGAAACCCGGCAGUCGUCAUGGGCUGUCACCCGCUGCUGAACACAUAGGCAGUGUGGAGGGAACGCGGGGAAGUGAAACAUCUCAGUACCCGCAGGAAGAGAAAACAACCGUGAUUCCGGGAGUAGUGGCGAGCGAAACUGGAUGAGGCCAAACCGUAUACGUGUGAGACCCGGCAGGGGUUGCGUGUGCGGGGUUGUGGGAUCUCUCUUCCACGGUCUGCCGGCCGUGGGGCGAGUCAGAAACCGUUGAUGUAGACGAAGGACAUGCGAAAGGUCCGGCGUAGAGGGUAAGACCCCCGUAGUCGAAACGUCAGCGGCUUGCUUGAGAGACACCCAAGUAGCACGGGGCCCGAGAAAUCCCGUGUGAAUCUGGCGGGACCACCCGCUAAGCCUAAAUAUUCCCUGGUGACCGAUAGCGGAUAGUACCGUGAGGGAAUGGUGAAAAGUACCGCGGGAGCGGAGUGAAAUAGUACCUGAAACCGUGUGCCUACAAGCCGUGGGAGCGUCGGGAUGGAGCUUGCUUCAUCCUCGUGACUGCGUGCCUUUUGAAGAAUGAGCCUGCGAGUUUGCGGUGUGUUGCGAGGUUAACCCGGGUGGGGUAGCCGUAGCGAAAGCGAGUCCGAACAGGGCGAUUUUAGUAGCACGCUCAAAACCCGAAGCGGAGUGAUCUAGCCAUGGGCAGGUUGAAGCGGAGGUAAGACUUCGUGGAGGACCGAACCCACCAGGGUUGAAAACCUGGGGGAUGACCUGUGGUUAGGGGUGAAAGGCCAAUCAAACUCCGUGAUAGCUGGUUCUCCCCGAAAUGCAUUUAGGUGCAGCGUCGUGUGUUUCUUGCCGGAGGUAGAGCACUGGAUAGGCGAUGGGCCCUACCGGGUUACUGACCUUAGCCAAACUCCGAAUGCCGGUAAGUGAGAGCGCGGCAGUGAGACUGUGGGGGAUAAGCUCCAUGGUCGAGAGGGAAACAGCCCAGAGCAUCGACUAAGGCCCCUAAGCGUACGCUAAGUGGGAAAGGAUGUGGAGUCGCACAGACAACCAGGAGGUUGGCUUAGAAGCAGCCACCCUUGAAAGAGUGCGUAAUAGCUCACUGGUCUAGUGAUUCCGCGCCGACAAUGUAGCGGGGCUCAAGCGUACCGCCGAAGUCGUGUCAUUGCAGCAAUACGGCCAACGCCGGCUGUGAUGGGUAGGGGAGCGUCGUGUGCCGGGUGAAGCAGCCGCGGAAGCGAGUUGUGGACGGUUCACGAGUGAGAAUGCAGGCAUGAGUAGCGAUACAAACGUGAGAAACGUUUGCGCCGAUUGACUAAGGGUUCCUGGGUCAAGCUGAUCUGCCCAGGGUAAGUCGGGACCUAAGGCGAGGCCGACAGGCGUAGUCGAUGGAUAACCGGUUGAUAUUCCGGUACCCGCUGUGAAGCGUCAAACAUCGAGCAUCGUGAUGCUAAGGCCGUGAAACCGCCCGCUGCCGGCUUUGCCGUCAGUGGGAGUGGUGGAGCCGCUGAACCAAGCGGUUAGUAGGUGAGUGAUGGGGUGACGCAGGAAGGUAGUCCAUCCCGGGCGGUGGUUGUCCCGGGGUAAGGGUGUAGG
This 1721-nucleotide ribosomal RNA is filed under the name Streptomyces rochei. Its description in RNAcentral is "partial 23S ribosomal RNA". It matches the Rfam family "Bacterial large subunit ribosomal RNA", at positions 1 to 1524 of the family's 2925-position model. Lineage: Bacteria; Bacillati; Actinomycetota; Actinomycetes; Kitasatosporales; Streptomycetaceae. The record is from RNAcentral.